UACGUAGGGUGCAAGCGUUGUCCGGAAUUAUUGGGCGUAAAGAGCUCGUAGGCGGUUCGUCGCGUCGGCUGUGAAAACCCGGAGCUCAACUCCGGGCCUGCAGUCGAUACGGGCGGACUUGAGUGUUGCAGGGGAGACUGGAAUUCCUGGUGUAGCGGUGAAAUGCGCAGAUAUCAGGAGGAACACCGGUGGCGAAGGCGGGUCUCUGGGCCGUAACUGGACGCUGAGGAGCGAAAGCAUGGGGAGCGAACAGG
RNAcentral lists this ribosomal RNA (254 nucleotides) under uncultured bacterium. Its description in RNAcentral is "partial 16S ribosomal RNA". It matches the Rfam family "Bacterial small subunit ribosomal RNA", at positions 524 to 776 of the family's 1533-position model. The record is from RNAcentral.